This 639-nucleotide ribosomal RNA is filed under the name uncultured Actinomycetes bacterium. RNAcentral describes it as "bacterial SSU rRNA". It matches the Rfam family "Bacterial small subunit ribosomal RNA", at positions 232 to 885 of the family's 1533-position model. The record is from RNAcentral. Lineage: Bacteria; Bacillati; Actinomycetota; Actinomycetes.
CGCGGCCUAUCAGCUUGUUGGUGAGGUAACGGCCCACCAAGGCGACGACGGGUAGCCGGCCUGAGAGGGUGACCGGCCACACUGGGACUGAGACACGGCCCAGACUCCUACGGGAGGCAGCAGUGGGGAAUAUUGCACAAUGGGCGCAAGCCUGAUGCAGCAACGCCGCGUGAGGGACGACGGCCUUCGGGUUGUAAACCCCUUUCAGCAGGGACGAAAAUGACGGUACCUGCAGAAGAAGCUCCGGCCAACUACGUGCCAGCAGCCGCGGUAAUACGUAGGGAGCGAGCGUUGUCCGGAAUUAUUGGGCGUAAAGAGCUCGUAGGCGGUUCAGUAAGUCGGGUGUGAAAACUCAAGGCUCAACCUUGAGACGCCACUCGAUACUGCUGUGACUUGAGUCCGGUAGAGGAGUGUGGAAUUCCUGGUGUAGCGGUGAAAUGCGCAGAUAUCAGGAGGAACACCAGCGGCGAAGGCGGCACUCUGGGCCGGUACUGACGCUGAGGAGCGAAAGCAUGGGGAGCAAACAGGAUUAGAUACCCUGGUAGUCCAUGCCGUAAACGUUGGGCACUAGGUAUGGGAUCAUAUCAACGGAUUCCGUGCCGUAGCUAACGCAUUAAGUGCCCCGCCUGGGGAGUACGG